UACAGAGGUGGCAAGCGUUGUUCGGAAUUACUGGGCGUAAAGGGCGCGUAGGCGGUCCGAUAAGUCCCGUGUGAAAUCCCUCGGCUCAACUGAGGAACCGCACGGGAAACUGCCGGGCUUGAGUUCGGGAGAGGGAAGCGGAAUUCCGGGUGUAGCGGUGAAAUGCGUAGAUAUUGGGAGGAACACCAGUGGCGAAGGCGGCUCACUGGACCGGUACUGACGCUGAUGCGCGAAAGCGUGGGGAGCAAACGGG
This 253-nucleotide ribosomal RNA is filed under the name uncultured bacterium. RNAcentral describes it as "partial 16S ribosomal RNA". It matches the Rfam family "Bacterial small subunit ribosomal RNA", at positions 524 to 776 of the family's 1533-position model. The record is from RNAcentral.